This is a long non-coding RNA of Homo sapiens (human), 981 nucleotides long. The record is from Ensembl. Lineage: Eukaryota; Metazoa; Chordata; Mammalia; Primates; Hominidae.
GGAGAGUUCAGGUUGGCGGGUCCUGGGGCGGGGCCAGGACAGGGCGAUCCUGGAAGCGGGGCUUCGGAAGCGUCCAGCUGUUGUUCCCCACCAGAACCAAAUGAGCGCAAGAUCUGACAAAGAAAAAAAAAGUAACAAACAGAACCGCAAGAGCUCCUGUGACAAUGCUGAGCCUGAUCACUGCGCCUUGCAGAGCAGAUGCCCUCUGCACCUCCGCUCCUGUUAAGAAACCAGAGGGUUUUUAAUUGUCUGUUCCCAUCUAGCCGCUACCCAGUAAAGGCGCCAUUCCCCAUUUUACAGCUGGGGAAACUGAGUUACAGAGCUUGUCUACACUGAGUCAACAGGAGCAAAUGCUAGAUCAGACAAGGUCUAGCUGGAGUACAGUGAUGCAGUCAUAGCCCACUGCAGCCUCAAAAUUCCUGGGCUCAAGCAAUCCACCCACAUCAGCUUCCCAAGUAGUUGGGACUACAGGCCCACACUACUAUACCCAGACCAACAGAUAUUCUAGCAUAUAAGAAAUGUGAUGCUCUCUGUACAUUGAAGAGUUGGUCUAAUAUUUGGCCUGGUGGAUACAGAAAUUGCCUGUCUGCUCCGCUCUGGUUGAAGAAACCAGUCCGACUGUCUCUGAGGCUAUGGAGCAGUCCAUCAAGAAUGAAAGCCCUCGGCUGGCACGUUGGCUCACACCUGUAAUACCAGCGCUUUGGGAGGCUGAGGCAGGUGGAUCACUUGAAGUCACGAAUUCGACACCAGCAUGGCCAACAUGGUGAAACCCUCUCUCUACAGAAAAUAGAAAAAUUAGCUGGGCCUAGUGACGUGUGCCUGUAAUCCCAGCUACUCAGGAGGCUGAGGCAGGAGAAUCACUUGAUCCUGGGAGGCAGAGCUUGCAGUGGGGAGCUGAGAUCACACCACUGCCUUCCAGCCUGGGCGACAGAGUGAGACUCUCUCAAAAAAAAAAAAAAAAAAAAAAAAAAGAAAGUCCUC